GUGGGGAAUCUUGCGCAAUGGGCGAAAGCCUGACGCAGCCAUGCCGCGUGAAUGAUGAAGGUCUUAGGAUUGUAAAAUUCUUUCACCGGGGACGAUAAUGACGGUACCCGGAGAAGAAGCCCCGGCUAACUUCGUGCCAGCAGCCGCGGUAAUACGAAGGGGGCUAGCGUUGCUCGGAAUUACUGGGCGUAAAGGGCGCGUAGGCGGAUCGUUAAGUCAGGGGUGAAAUCCCAGAGCUCAACUCUGGAACUGCCCUGGAUACUGGCGAUCUUGAGUGUGAGAGAGGUAUGUGGAACUCCGAGUGUAGAGGUGAAAUUCGUAGAUAUUCGGAAGAACACCAGUGGCGAAGGCGACAUACUGGCUCAUUACUGACGCUGAGGCGCGAAAGCGUGGGGAGCAAACAGGAUUAGAUACCCGGGUAUCC
This 424-nucleotide ribosomal RNA is filed under the name uncultured bacterium. RNAcentral describes it as "partial 16S ribosomal RNA". It matches the Rfam family "Bacterial small subunit ribosomal RNA", at positions 354 to 795 of the family's 1533-position model. The record is from RNAcentral.